AGAAGAGAAAUUUGGUAGGGAGAGAAGGAAAAACAAGGUGGAAAGAAGGAAAGUCCCAUGACGUCCAUUGAAAGCACAAUCAGACCUUGUUUAUGUGGCGUGGACUCCAGGCUUUCUCUUCAAAUGCACGCGAGUAAAGAAAAUACCUUGAGAGCCUAAUAAUAGUGCCCUGAAACCUGAGAUCCAACUCUCAUCUUUCCAAUUCUUGGGAACAUGCUUAAUAAGAACGUGUUACAGUGAGGUUUGGAUGAAGAAAGGACUGCACAAAGAAUGAGGUAGAUUGUAAACUUCAUGAGCCCAGGACCAUACUUCUUUUCUUUUUUAACUUGAAGGAUUCCAGAGUCUAACCUGGUGUCUAGUUUCUCAUCAGCGCUGAACAUGUACUCUUUGAAUGCUUGCGAUCAGGUAGGCCUCAUCCUGGCCAUUAAGCUACAUCCCCAGGAUCUUUUCAUUUCAUUUUGAGACAGGGUCUUGCUCUGUGGCCUGAAACAUGUGAUCCUCCGGCCUCAGCCUUCUGUGAAUCUGACAUUUCAGAUGGAGCGCCUUCCCUCUAGGACCUCAGUGCACCUUACAAAUGGCAUGCGUCAUCAAAGCCCUUCCAGAGAGGAGUGUACAGGCAUACAGUGGUAGUGACGACCCGUUCCCUGUGACGAAGCUGCUUGCAGGACAGUUCACUAUCCAGAAAGAAGAUACAGAAAAGAUUUUAUGUUUAACGUAGUAUUGUAUUGGCCCUAACUUCAAAGGCAAUAACUUUAGACUCAUUGGAGGAAUUUUUUAAUUUGGGUGGAAAGGUGAGACACCCUAUUUUGGAUUAACUGAGGAUUCCUUCAGGAGAAAAGCAAGUAUCUUGAAGAGUAAAGAAUAGUAUUGAAGAUAAGUUCCAAUCAUCAGCUACUGAGAGUUGAAUUUGAAUAGAGAAUGGGGUCCUAAAAUCUAUUUAUUUUCCCUUCUAAUAUGAACAUAUUACAAGAUGUGGACACAGUUGAAUGACACAGGAGAUGGGAUAAAAUAUUUGGAGACAUGACUGGACAUUAUUAUAGUAUUUUAAGAAUGGUUGGAUCUUUCUAUGAUUUACAUGGGAUUUAAAAAAUUUGUUAAGUACCCAGAGAAAAAAUGUAAUUAAAAUGUUGUGAAA
This is a long non-coding RNA of Cavia porcellus (domestic guinea pig), 1135 nucleotides long. RefSeq lists it as uncharacterized. Lineage: Eukaryota; Metazoa; Chordata; Mammalia; Rodentia; Caviidae. The record is from RefSeq and is a predicted model, not a curated record. The transcript has 6 exons.